GGAAUUUUGGACAAUGGGCGAAAGCCUGAUCCAGCAAUGCCGCGUGAGUGAAGAAGGCCUUCGGGUUGUAAAGCUCUUUUGUCAGGGAAGAAACGGUUUGGGCUAAUACCCUGAGCUAAUGACGGUACCUGAAGAAUAAGCACCGGCUAACUACGUGCCAGCAGCCGCGGUAAUACGUAGGGUGCAAGCGUUAAUCGGAAUUACUGGGCGUAAAGCGUGCGCAGGCGGUUUUGUAAGUCUGAUGUGAAAUCCCCGGGCUCAACCUGGGAAUUGCAUUGGAGACUGCAAGGCUAGAAUCUGGCAGAGGGGGGUAGAAUUCCACGUGUAGCAGUGAAAUGCGUAGAUAUGUGGAGGAACACCGAUGGCGAAGGCAGCCCCCUGGGUCAAGAUUGACGCUCAUGCACGAAAGCGUGGGGAGCAAACAGGAUUAGAUACCCUGG
Molecule: ribosomal RNA, 440 nt
Filed under: uncultured Janthinobacterium sp.
Lineage: Bacteria; Pseudomonadati; Pseudomonadota; Betaproteobacteria; Burkholderiales; Oxalobacteraceae
Description: bacterial SSU rRNA
Rfam family: Bacterial small subunit ribosomal RNA
Source: RNAcentral